Molecule: ribosomal RNA, 1346 nt
Filed under: uncultured bacterium
Lineage: Bacteria
Description: bacterial SSU rRNA
Rfam family: Bacterial small subunit ribosomal RNA
Source: RNAcentral
GACGAACUUUGGCGGCGUGCUUAACACAUGCAAGUCGAACGGAAAGGCCCUGCUUUUGUGGGGUGCUCGAGUGGCGAACGGGUGAGUAACACGUGAGUAACCUGCCCUUGACUUUGGGAUAACUUCAGGAAACUGGGGCUAAUACCGGAUAGGAGCUCCUGCUGCAUGGUGGGGGUUGGAAAGUUUCGGCGGUUGGGGAUGGACUCGCGGCUUAUCAGCUUGUUGGUGGGGUAGUGGCUUACCAAGGCUUUGACGGGUAGCCGGCCUGAGAGGGUGACCGGCCACAUUGGGACUGAGAUACGGCCCAGACUCCUACGGGAGGCAGCAGUGGGGAAUAUUGCACAAUGGGCGGAAGCCUGAUGCAGCAACGCCGCGUGCGGGAUGACGGCCUUCGGGUUGUAAACCGCUUUCGCCUGUGACGAAGCGAGAGUGACGGUAAUGGGUAAAGAAGCACCGGCUAACUACGUGCCAGCAGCCGCGGUGAUACGUAGGGUGCGAGCGUUGUCCGGAUUUAUUGGGCGUAAAGGGCUCGUAGGUGGUUGAUCGCGUCGGAAGUGUAAUCUUGGGGCUUAACCCUGAGCGUGCUUUCGAUACGGGUUGACUUGAGGAAGGUAGGGGAGAAUGGAAUUCCUGGUGGAGCGGUGGAAUGCGCAGAUAUCAGGAGGAACACCAGUGGCGAAGGCGGUUCUCUGGGCCUUUCCUGACGCUGAGGAGCGAAAGCGUGGGGAGCGAACAGGCUUAGAUACCCUGGUAGUCCACGCUGUAAACGGUGGGUACUAGGUGUGGGGUCCAUUCCACGGGUUCCGUGCCGUAGCUAACGCUUUAAGUACCCCGCCUGGGGAGUACGGCCGCAAGGCUAAAACUCAAAGGAAUUGACGGGGCCCCGCACAAGCGGCGGAGCAUGCGGAUUAAUUCGAUGCAACGCGUAGAACCUUACCUGGGUUUGACAUGGAUCGGGAGUGCUCAGAGAUGGGUGUGCCUCUUUUGGGGUCGGUUCACAGGUGGUGCAUGCCUGUCGUCAGCUCGUGUCGUGAGAUGUUGGGUUAAGUCCCGCAACGAGCGCAACCCUUGUUCACUGUUGCCAGCACGUUAUGGUGGGGACUCAGUGGAGACCGCCGGGGUCAACUCGGAGGAAGGUGGGGAUGACGUCAAGUCCUCAUGCCCCUUAUGUCCAGGGCUUCACGCAUGCUACAAUGGCUGGUACAGAGAGUGGCGAGCCUGUGAGGAUGAGCGAAUCUCGGAAAGCCGGUCUCAGUUCGGAUUGGGGUCUGCAACUCGACCUCAUGAAGUCGGAGUCGCUAGUAAUCGCAGAUCAGCAACGCUGCGGUGAAUACGUUCCCGGGGCU